This 1366-nucleotide ribosomal RNA is filed under the name bacterium NLAE-zl-G485. Its description in RNAcentral is "16S ribosomal RNA". It matches the Rfam family "Bacterial small subunit ribosomal RNA", at positions 77 to 1452 of the family's 1533-position model. The record is from RNAcentral.
UGCUUGCAAACUGGAGAUGGCGACCGGCGCACGGGUGAGUAACACGUAUCCNACCUGCCGAUAACUCGGGGAUAGCCUUUCGAAAGAAAGAUUAAUACCCGAUGGUAUAAUCANACCGCAUGGUCUUGUUAUUAAAGAAUUUCGGUUAUCGAUGGGGAUGCGUUCCAUUAGGCAGUUGGUGAGGUAACGGCUCACCAAACCUUCGAUGGAUAGGGGUUCUGAGAGGAAGGUCCCCCACAUUGGAACUGAGACACGGUCCAAACUCCUACGGGAGGCAGCAGUGAGGAAUAUUGGUCAAUGGGCGCAGGCCUGAACCAGCCAAGUAGCGUGAAGGAUGACUGCCCUAUGGGUUGUAAACUUCUUUUAUAUGGGAAUAAAGUUUUCCACGUGUGGAAUUUUGUAUGUACCAUAUGAAUAAGGAUCGGCUAACUCCGUGCCAGCAGCCGCGGUAAUACGGAGGAUCCGAGCGUUAUCCGGAUUUAUUGGGUUUAAAGGGAGCGUAGGUGGACAGUUAAGUCAGUUGUGAAAGUUUGCGGCUCAACCGUAAAAUUGCAGUUGAUACUGGCUGUCUUGAGUACAGUAGAGGUGGGCGGAAUUCGUGGUGUAGCGGUGAAAUGCUUAGAUAUCACGAAGAACUCCGAUUGCGAAGGCAGCUCACUGGACUGCAACUGACACUGAUGCUCGAAAGUGUGGGUAUCAAACAGGAUUAGAUACCCUGGUAGUCCACACAGUAAACGAUGAAUACUCGCUGUUUGCGAUAUACAGUAAGCGGCCAAGCGAAAGCAUUAAGUAUUCCACCUGGGGAGUACGCCGGCAACGGUGAAACUCAAAGGAAUUGACGGGGGCCCGCACAAGCGGAGGAACAUGUGGUUUAAUUCGAUGAUACGCGAGGAACCUUACCCGGGCUUAAAUUGCAUUUGAAUAUAUUGGAAACAGUAUAGCCGUAAGGCAAAUGUGAAGGUGCUGCAUGGUUGUCGUCAGCUCGUGCCGUGAGGUGUCGGCUUAAGUGCCAUAACGAGCGCAACCCUUAUCUUUAGUUACUAACAGGUCAUGCUGAGGACUCUAGAGAGACUGCCGUCGUAAGAUGUGAGGAAGGUGGGGAUGACGUCAAAUCAGCACGGCCCUUACGUCCGGGGCUACACACGUGUUACAAUGGGGGGUACAGAAGGCAGCUACCUGGUGACAGGAUGCUAAUCCCAAAAGCCUCUCUCAGUUCGGAUCGAAGUCUGCAACCCGACUUCGUGAAGCUGGAUUCGCUAGUAAUCGCGCAUCAGCCAUGGCGCGGUGAAUACGUUCCCGGGCCUUGUACACACCGCCCGUCAAGCCAUGAAAGCCGGGGGUACCUGAAGUACGUAACCGCAAGGAG